ACAUCUUCUCGUCAUCUUCAAUGAUACUAGCAGCCCUCCUUAACUCCCCACCAACCUCGUCCCCCCAGUCAAUAUUCUUUAAGACUUUCUCCUCCUUCCUCUCUCGAGACCUUCCUCUAGACGAUCUGCAGGGGGUUAAACCCUCCUGACAUCCCUUAUCAUACCUACCGCUGCUAGGUUCACCAGCCUCGAAACUCUUCGUUUGCAGCGGCUCCCUCUUAGGUAUACAGUCUUCUUGUUCCUCAUUAAAACCACUC
This 257-nucleotide long non-coding RNA is filed under the name Ananas comosus (pineapple). RNAcentral's name for it is "long non-coding RNA (ACOM_LNC020509)". The record is from RNAcentral. Lineage: Eukaryota; Viridiplantae; Streptophyta; Magnoliopsida; Poales; Bromeliaceae.